Molecule: ribosomal RNA, 1000 nt
Filed under: Salmonella enterica subsp. enterica serovar Dublin
Lineage: Bacteria; Pseudomonadati; Pseudomonadota; Gammaproteobacteria; Enterobacterales; Enterobacteriaceae
Description: partial 23S ribosomal RNA
Rfam family: Bacterial large subunit ribosomal RNA
Source: RNAcentral
AAGGCGCGCGAUACAGGGUGACAGCCCCGUACACAAAAGCGUAUGUGCUGUGAGCUCGAUGAGUAGGGCGGGACACGUGGUAUCCUGUCUGAAUAUGGGGGGACCAUCCUCCAAGGCUAAAUACUCCUGACUGACCGAUAGUGAACCAGUACCGUGAGGGAAAGGCGAAAAGAACCCCGGCGAGGGGAGUGAAAAAGAACCUGAAACCGUGUACGUACAAGCAGUGGGAGCCCCACCACUAAGCCAGUGGUGAACUCCACAUACGCAUCCUUUGCUGAGGAUACGGUUAACGGAGCGAAAGCGACGUUCAACCGCAAAAGAAGCAGAGGGGGCUUAGUGGUGGGGUGACUGCGUACCUUUUGUAUAAUGGGUCAGCGACUUAUAUUCUGUAGCAAGGUUAACCGAAUAGGGGAGCCGGAGGGAAACCGAGUCUUAACCGGGCGUUAAGUUGCAGGGUAUAGACCCGAAACCCGGUGAUCUAGCCAUGGGCAGGUUGAAGGUUGGGUAACACUAACUGGAGGACCGAACCGACUAAUGUUGAAAAAUUAGCGGAUGACCUGUGGCUGGGGGUGAAAGGCCAAUCAAACCGGGAGAUAGCUGGUUCUCCCCGAAAGCUAUUUAGGUAGCGCCUCGUGAAUUCAUCUCCGGGGGUAGAGCACUGUUUCGGCUAGGGGGCCAUCCCGGCUUACCAACCCGAUGCAAACUGCGAAUACCGGAGAAUGUUAUCACGGGAGACACACGGCGGGUGCUAACGUCCGUCGUGAAGAGGGAAACAACCCAGACCGCCAGCUAAGGUCCCAAAGUCAUGGUUAAGUGGGAAACGAUGUGGGAAGGCCCAGACAGCCAGGAUGUUGGCUUAGAAGCAGCCAUCAUUUAAAGAAAGCGUAAUAGCUCACUGGUCGAGUCGGCCUGCGCGGAAGAUGUAACGGGGCUAAACCAUGCACCGAAGCUGCGGCAGCGAACGUAUCACUUAAAGCGAUUCAGCGGGUUACGAUUGACG